Pipistrellus kuhlii (Kuhl's pipistrelle) is the source of this 2649-nucleotide long non-coding RNA. RefSeq lists it as uncharacterized. NCBI's taxonomy places the organism in Eukaryota, Metazoa, Chordata, Mammalia, Chiroptera, Vespertilionidae. The transcript is spliced from 2 exons. The record is from RefSeq and is a predicted model, not a curated record.
CGGGCGGGCGGGCCGGCCGGCCGGCCGCGGGGGCGGGGGCCGCACUCACCUGGCACACAAAGGCUCCGCGCACCUCCGGAGGGAGGAGGCGCUCGCAGGGGGCAACCUUGUAAUCUGGUGACAUCAUCAACCUGUGGGCCUACACAUAAACAUCUUCCAUAAAAUAAAAGCCAGCGAGCCCAAAGAGCCAGCUAUAAAAUGCUCUGCAAGGAUGAGGAGGUGCUGGAAACAAGGCCCCGAGGGGGACCUGCCCUGAUGCUGCCAGUGUCCCACCUGCAACCUGCCUCCUGCCCCUGAGAGGCCUGACAAACAGGACUCAGAGCAGCCGAGAUCCCUUUCCUGGAUCUUAAUCUGGCACCAGCUACACACGGUGAGGCCUGGUCAAGCCUGCCUUUGUUACAGGCAGCAAAUGAACAGGUAGGCCACAGGCAAGUGAUCAGUGGCCUCUACCAUUAUGAAUAUAAAGGACUGCACAAAGCGUGGCAUGUUACCUCUACCCAAAGUUAUUCCCUUCAUUAAAGAAAAGAAUACCUCUUCAGAGGGAAAUUUGCAACUUUUGCACUGACAGAUGGAAUCCACAGUUUCUCUGAAAUGCCUGUUGCAAAUUCUGUCCUGUGACUCUGCAAGGCCCCGGCCCUCCUGAUCAGCCAGCGGCCUGCCCAGCGGAGACAAGCCCUGCACUCUCGCCACCCUGUCCUGAACGCUGUUGACAAAUAAACCCACUCUCAGGAAAGGCAAUCCCUGCUUCCAGUUCUCCAUAGCUAGUCUCCUCUCAUCUGGAAAGCGUAAUUGGCAACAGCCGAAAAGGAUAAAUAUUUAAAACUAAAUCAGGGGAUGCUAACUCCUUCCCUACUCCUCCCCUUACUCACUCUCCAAACCAGAGGCCAGCCCCCCUAGGGCUUAGCUGGCUGGUGAAUUACAAGGAUCUGAACAGAGCCAACUGGCUUCUCCCUUGCUCGCUCUCUUCCCCCACAUGCACACCCGGUCUCCAUGCUGUAUCCUUUCACUUCAGCAAAGGUAAAUAUGAUCUCUGAGCUGAGAUUCAGUGAAUGUCAGCGUUCUGACUCCUCGCUAAACCUGGGCUCUCUUUUCACAGCACAACUGGGUUUAGGCGGAUUUGUGUAUUCUUCCAGAUCCUUCUAUUUUUUAUUAAAUUAUACAUACACAUUGAUUUUGAAACUAGUGCUUAAAUAACCUUGAGGCUUUAACAAAGAAAAAAAUCGGGGGGGGGGGAGGUGAUGUGUGAAUAUUCCUGAAAUAAACAAGGAAACAUUUGGAGCUGAAUGCCCAGCUAUCACCCCAUCUUUUCUAGGCAGUUAUAUUUAUGGGCCUGGUACCUGCUGGGUGGUCAGGCCUCCUGGGUAUGGGACAGAAUGCAGGCUCUCCUGAGAACAACCCACCCUCACCUCCAUAACACACAGAUGCUCUGAUUCACAUUUCUCUGACAGAAACCUCAAGGCCCCAUCUAUCGCUAGGAUGCUAAUUCCGCAGAUUAAUUUUACCCCCAAAUUGUAGGUGGAACAUUAUCUAGCUUGCUUACCCACCCUCCCCAGCUCAUACUCUAAACCUGUCAGUGACACACAUAAGACACAAAUGAGCAAACAUUUUUUUAAGCUUUCCCAAUUUGUGUGAAGUUACAAAGCCCAGUUUAAGAAAGCAGAAAUAAAUAACUUUCCUUAAACUAGCUUUAAAAACGUUGGGUUAAAAAAGCUUGCUCUCUUUCCUUUUUUUUUUUUUUUUUUUUUUAAACAAAAUAUUAUUUCUGAAAGGGCAAAGAGAAUUUGUCAUGCAAGACUUUUAUACCCAGGGGGAUUCUUACAUUUGUGUUUCUAAACCUUGAAAUUGAGAAUUUUAAUGAAAAGGCAGACAGAUGCUUAAGGACACAGCAUCGCAAUCAAGGUCCAUACAGGGCGGGAGAGGGACGCUUUGUUUGGGGCCAGGAAGAAAAGGUGGAUCUGACACAGCCGGUGUGUGUGUGUGCACGCCCCCUGACACCCUGAAUUCUUGGAGGGGAAGCAGGUUGGAGGCAGAAGAAAGGAAAGAGGAAAGGAGAGAGGAAAGAAAGGGGGAGGGGACAUGGCUUCUUUAUAUAAAUCCUGUGUGUGUGUGUGUGUGUGUGUGUGUGUGUGUGUGUGUUUUAAAUUCUCAACACAGCAUCAAUCCCACAGUAUGUGCCAACAAUUCCCUUACACAUGCAUUAAAACAAUCAAUUAAACGAUCUACCAGGAGCACCAUAACCAAGAUCAGAAUUUUUUUUUUUAAUGAAGAAUUUCAUUUGGGUUUGCCAUUCUUUCCCAUCAAGUGACCACUUUUUUUUGGACAGGGUUCUAAGAGAUAAACAAAAGAUGACCCUUUUCACACUCUUUCCCCCCCCCCCCACACACCCCCCAAAUGAUUCUGGAAUCCCAUUUUGUUAUCUUUUCAUUUUAGCUGCAUUUUUUUGUCUGAAAUCUGCGCUAAUCUGAUUUCAGAGCUCCGAGCUGAAAUGUCACAUAUCCUCCCCAAGUCCGCCAAGCCAGUGUUUUAGAAUUUGGAUUUCUAUUGAGGCUGUUCCAAUCGCCAGCGAGGCCUACGAUAAAAAUGUGCAUCAUGCUGUUCCGUUUGUCUCUCUUCGGACAAAUAGAAACUGUGAAAUUUAAAGAAUGGAUG